GUACUGGAUUCAGCAGUACAGGUACUAAAAUUGGAGUGAUACAAAGAUUAACAUGGUCCCUGUGCAGGGAUGACUUGAAAAUUCAUAAAAUAAUCCAUAUUUUA
This is a small nuclear RNA of Grammomys surdaster, 104 nucleotides long. Lineage: Eukaryota; Metazoa; Chordata; Mammalia; Rodentia; Muridae. The record is from RefSeq and is a predicted model, not a curated record.